CACAGGACGAACGAAAACACGGCCCGGUCGGUAGUCCGGGCGCCCUCCCCUUUCGCAGGGUACGGGUCAGUAACCUCCCUCCCAGGGUGUCCGGUUCGUCCUCUCACGCA
This 110-nucleotide non-coding RNA is filed under the name Streptomyces rimosus. Its description in RNAcentral is "Azaaromatic sequence". It matches the Rfam family "azaaromatic riboswitch aptamer (yjdF RNA)". Lineage: Bacteria; Bacillati; Actinomycetota; Actinomycetes; Kitasatosporales; Streptomycetaceae. The record is from RNAcentral.